UGGGGAAUAUUGCGCAAUGGGGGGAACCCUGACGCAGCCAUGCCGCGUGAAUGAAGAAGGCCUUAGGGUUGUAAAGUUCUUUCGGUAUUGAGGAAGGUUGAUGUGUUAAUAGCACAUCAAAUUGACGUUAAAUACAGAAGAAGCACCGGCUAACUCCGUGCCAGCAGCCGCGGUAAUACGGAGGGUGCGAGCGUUAAUCGGAAUAACUGGGCGUAAAGGGCACGCAGGCGGUUAUUUAAGUGAGGUGUGAAAGCCCCGGGCUUAACCUGGGAAUUGCAUUUCAGACUGGGUAACUAGAGUACUUUAGGGAGGGGUAGAAUUCCACGUGUAGCGGUGAAAUGCGUAGAGAUGUGGAGGAAUACCGAAGGCGAAGGCAGCCCCUUGGGGAUGUACUGACGCUCAUGUGCGAAAGCGUGGGGAGCAAACAGGAUUAGAUACCCUGGUAGUCCACGCUGUAAACGCUGUCGAUUUGGGGGUUGGGGUUUAACUCUGGCGCCCGUAGCUAACGUGAUAAAUCGACCGCCUGGGGAGUACGGCCGCAAGGUUA
Molecule: ribosomal RNA, 547 nt
Filed under: uncultured bacterium
Lineage: Bacteria
Description: bacterial SSU rRNA
Rfam family: Bacterial small subunit ribosomal RNA
Source: RNAcentral